RNAcentral lists this ribosomal RNA (497 nucleotides) under uncultured bacterium. RNAcentral describes it as "partial 16S ribosomal RNA". It matches the Rfam family "Bacterial small subunit ribosomal RNA", at positions 28 to 507 of the family's 1533-position model. The record is from RNAcentral.
GACGAACGCUGGCGGCGUGCCUAAUACAUGCAAGUUGAGCGCUGAAGGUUGGUACUUGUACCAACUGGAUGAGCAGCGAACGGGUGAGUAACGCGUGGGGAAUCUGCCUUUGAGCGGGGGACAUCAUUUGGAAACGAAUGCUAAUACCGCAUAAAAACUUUAAACACAAGUUUUAAGUUUGAAAGAUGCAGUUGCAUCACUCAAAGAUGAUCCCGCGUUGUAUUAGCUAGUUGGUGAGGUAAAGGCUCACCAAGGCGAUGAUACAUAGCCGACCUGAGAGGGUGAUCGGCCACAUUGGGACUGAGACACGGCCCAAACUCCUACGGGAGGCAGCAGUAGGGAAUCUUCGGCAAUGGACGAAAGUCUGACCGAGCAACGCCGCGUGAGUGAAGAAGGUUUUCGGAUCGUAAAACUCUGUUGGUAGAGAAGAACGUUGGUGAGAGUGGAAAGCUCAUCAAGUGACGGUAACUACCCAGAAAGGGACGGCUAACUACGUG